UACGUAGGGUGCGAGCGUUAAUCGGAAUUACUGGGCGUAAAGCGUGCGCAGGCGGUUGUGCAAGACAGAUGUGAAAUCCCCGGGCUUAACCUGGGAAUGGCAUUGGUGACUGCACGGCUAGAGUGUGUCAGAGGGGGGUAGAAUUCCACGUGUGAGCAGUGAAAUGCGUAGAGAUGUGGAGGAAUACCGAUGGCGAAGGCAGCCCCCUGGGAUAACACUGACGCUCAUGCACGAAAGCGUGGGGAGCAAACAGG
RNAcentral lists this ribosomal RNA (254 nucleotides) under uncultured bacterium. RNAcentral's name for it is "partial 16S ribosomal RNA". It matches the Rfam family "Bacterial small subunit ribosomal RNA", at positions 524 to 776 of the family's 1533-position model. The record is from RNAcentral.